This 374-nucleotide ribosomal RNA is filed under the name uncultured bacterium. Its description in RNAcentral is "bacterial SSU rRNA". It matches the Rfam family "Bacterial small subunit ribosomal RNA", at positions 28 to 402 of the family's 1533-position model. The record is from RNAcentral.
GACGAACGCUGGCGGCGUGCUUAACACAUGCAAGUCGAGCGGUAAGGCCCUUUCGGGGGUACACGAGCGGCGAACGGGUGAGUAACACGUGGGUGACCUGCCCUCAGCUCUGGGAUAAGCCUGGGAAACCGGGUCUAAUACUGGAUAUGACUCCAUGACGCAUGUUGUGGGGUGGAAAGCCUUGUGCGGCUGAGGAUGGGGCCCGCGGCCUAUCAGCUUGUUGGUGGGGUGANGGCCUACCAAGGCGACGACGGGUAGCCGGCCUGAGAGGGCGACCGGCCACACUGGGACUGAGACACGGCCCAGACUCCUACGGGAGGCAGCAGUGGGGAAUCUUGCGCAAUGGGCGAAAGCCUGACGCAGCGACGCCGCGU